CCUAUUUCUAGAUUCAUAAAAGAAAAAAUAUGAAUAAAGUUUAUACGUUUGUUUAUGCUAUGAUUAUAUUCUUUUCCAAAUUUAUUUCCAUAACAAACGGAUCUGCGUUUCUCUGCUUACAAAAUGAACAUUGUCAAGAUCUCGACUUCGAGUGCAUCCCUCCUAAAGUGCCAAACUGCUUAUAUGGGGAAGUUUCAGAUGUCGAAUUUGGGUUUUGUGAAUGUUCCGAGAAGAUCACAGUGCACAAUAUUAGUGGUUUUUGAAUGUGUGAAGAAACCGUAAAAGAUUAUUAAAAAAAAAGGGUCGUAUUGUAUUAAUUUUUUAUAUUUUUUAUAAGCAAUAUUGGAUUCAAAUCAAAAAAUUAUAUGCUUUGUAAACAUACAAUAUAGGAUUAGUACUUCAAUUCGAGAAAGAAUAAAUGGACUUGCGCCAGACUCUACCACUAAACCAAAUCCAUGAGAUUGCCGUGAUAUUGUUAAUCGGCACAGAUA
Long non-coding RNA from Trifolium pratense (red clover), 491 nucleotides. RefSeq lists it as uncharacterized. The record is from RefSeq and is a predicted model, not a curated record. NCBI's taxonomy places the organism in Eukaryota, Viridiplantae, Streptophyta, Magnoliopsida, Fabales, Fabaceae. The transcript has 2 exons.